RNAcentral lists this ribosomal RNA (439 nucleotides) under uncultured bacterium. RNAcentral describes it as "partial 16S ribosomal RNA". It matches the Rfam family "Bacterial small subunit ribosomal RNA", at positions 339 to 795 of the family's 1533-position model. The record is from RNAcentral.
CUACGGGGGGCUCCAGUGGGGAAUAUUGCACAAUGGAGGAAACUCUGAUGCAGCAACGCCGCGUGGAGGAUGACACUUUUCGGAGCGUAAACUCCUUUUAUAUAGGAAGAAGAUGACGGUACUAUAUGAAUAAGCGCCGGCUAACUCCGUGCCAGCAGCCGCGGUAAUACGGAGGGCGCAAGCGUUACUCGGAAUCACUGGGCGUAAAGAGCGUGUAGGCGGAUUAAAAAGUCAGAAGUGAAAUCCUAUAGCUUAACUAUAGAACUGCUUCUGAAACUCUUAAUCUAGAAUAUGGGAGAGGUAGAUGGAACUUCUGGUGUAGGGGUAAAAUCCGUAGAGAUCAGAAGGAAUACCGACUGCGAAGGCGAUCUACUAGAACAUUAUUGACGCUGAGACGCGAAAGCGUGGGGAGCAAACAGGAUUAGAUACCCCAGUAGUC